Schistosoma haematobium is the source of this 78-nucleotide non-coding RNA. The record is from Rfam. NCBI's taxonomy places the organism in Eukaryota, Metazoa, Platyhelminthes, Trematoda, Strigeidida, Schistosomatidae.
AGCUUUUUGAAUCUGUGUAGAGAUUUCGUCAGAUACCAACUCAUUAGGAUUGACCAGACUUCCAAGGUAAGUGAAGUU